This 85-nucleotide transfer RNA is filed under the name Felis catus (domestic cat). It matches the Rfam family "tRNA". Rfam says of the family: Transfer RNA (tRNA) molecules are approximately 80 nucleotides in length. Lineage: Eukaryota; Metazoa; Chordata; Mammalia; Carnivora; Felidae. The record is from Rfam by way of RNAcentral.
GCCUGGGUGGCUUAGUCGGUUAAGCAUCCGACUUCAGCUCAGGUCAUGAUCUCACGAUUUGUGGGUUCGAGCCCCAUGUCAGGCU